AUUGAACGCUGGCGGAAUGCUUUACACAUGCAAGUCGAACGGCAGCACGGGUGCUUGCACCUGGUGGCGAGUGGCGAACGGGUGAGUAAUGCACCGGAACGUAUCCAAUAAUGGGGGAUAACGCACCGAAAGGUGUGCUAAUACCGCAUACGCCCUGAAGGGGAAAGCGGGGGAUCGUAAGACCUCGCGUUAAUGGAGCGGCCGAUGCCGGAUUAGCUAGUUGGUGAGGUAAAGGCUCACCAAGGCGACGAUCCGUAGCUGGUCUGAGAGGACGACCAGCCACACUGGAACUGAGACACGGUCCAGACUCCUACGGGAGGCAGCAGUGGGGAAUUUUGGACAAUGGGCGCAAGCCUGAUCCAGCCAUUCCGCGUGAGUGAAGAAGGCC
Molecule: ribosomal RNA, 388 nt
Filed under: uncultured bacterium
Lineage: Bacteria
Description: bacterial SSU rRNA
Rfam family: Bacterial small subunit ribosomal RNA
Source: RNAcentral